UUGAACCUGCGGAAGGAUCAUUACCGAGAGAGGAGGCUCAGCUUCUCGGCGGCCACGGCCGUCAGCUCUUCACCCUUUGCGUACCCACCUGCGUUGCUUUGGCGGGCCAUGAGCAUCGUCUCGCGCGGGCCCCGGGGCUUCCUCCCCUCGGCCCACGAGCGCCCGCCGGAGACCCUUUCAUUCUGACCUCUUCGUACCGUCCGAGCAUAUCGCACAAUCGUGAAAAAACUUUCAACAACGGAUCUCUUGGUUCCAGCAUCGAUGAAGAACGCAGCGAAAUGCGAUAAGUAAUGUGAAUUGCAGAAUUCAGUGAAUCAUCGAAUCUUUGAACGCACAUUGCGCCCCCCGGCAUUCCGAGGGGCAUGUCUGUUCGAGCGUCAUUGCAUCCCUCAAGCGUAGGCUUGGUAUUGGGACCCGCUCCCGCGGCGGUCCCGAAAAGCAUCGGCCGCUCAGCGUGGUUUUCGAGCGCAGUAAAAUCUUCCCGCUCCGGAAUCCCCGCUCGGGCAGGCCUUAAACCCUUCAUCCUCAAUGAUUGACCUCGGAUCASGCAGGGAUACCCGCUGAACUUAAGMAUAA
RNAcentral lists this ribosomal RNA (576 nucleotides) under Neoprotoparmelia pulchra. Its description in RNAcentral is "eukaryotic LSU rRNA". Lineage: Eukaryota; Fungi; Ascomycota; Lecanoromycetes; Lecanorales; Parmeliaceae. The record is from RNAcentral.